RNAcentral lists this ribosomal RNA (381 nucleotides) under uncultured bacterium. Its description in RNAcentral is "bacterial SSU rRNA". It matches the Rfam family "Bacterial small subunit ribosomal RNA", at positions 28 to 412 of the family's 1533-position model. The record is from RNAcentral.
GACGAACGCUGGCGGCGUGCUUAACACAUGCAAGUCGAGCGGUAAGGCCCUUUCGGGGGUACACGAGCGGCGAACGGGUGAGUAACACGUGGGUGACCUGCCCUCAGCUCUGGGAUAAGCCUGGGAAACUGGGUCUAAUACUGGAUAUGACUCACGGUGCAUGUCGUGGGGUGGAAAGCCUUGUGCGGCUGAGGAUGGGCCCGCGGCCUAUCAGCUUGUUGGUGGGGUGAUGGCCUACCAAGGCGACGACGGGUAGCCGGCCUGAGAGGGCGACCGGCCACACUGGGACUGAGACACGGUCCAGACUCCUACGGGAGGCAGCAGUGGGGAAUCUUGCGCAAUGGGCGAAAGCCUGACGCAGCGACGCCGCGUGGGGAUGAA